GUCGGCUUCGGGACACCUGCGGGGCCCGCGUGGGGGUGCCCGGUGCUGGGGGGUCGGCUUCGGGACACCUGCGGGGUCCACGUGGGUGUUGUCUGUGCUGGGGGGUCGGCUUCGGGACACCUGCGGGGCCCGCGUGGGGGUGCCCGGUGCUGGGGGGUCGGCUUCGGGACACCUGCGGGGCCCGCGUGGGUGUUGUCUGUGCUGGGGGGUCGGCUUCGGGACACCUGCGGGGCCCGCGUGGGUGUUGUCUGUGCUGGGGGGUCGGCUUCGGGACACCUGCGGGGCCCGCGUGGGUGUUGUCUGUGCUGGGGGGUCGGCUUCGGGACACCUGCGGGGCCCGCGUGGGUGUUGUCUGUGCUGGGGGGUCGGCUUCGGGACACCUGCGGGGCCCGCGUGGGUGUUGUCUGUGCUGGGGGGUCGGCUUCGGGACACCUGCGGGGCCCGCGUGGGUGUUGUCUGUGCUGGGGGGUCGGCUUCGGGACAUCUGCGGGGCCCACGUGGGGGUGCCCGGUGCUGGGGGGUCGGCUUCGGGACACCUGCGGGGCCCACGUGGGGGUGCCCGGUGCUGGGGGGUCGGCUUCGGGACACCUGUAGGGCCCGCGUGGGGGUGCCCGGUGCUGGGGGUGGGUUGGCUUCGGGACACCUGCGGGGUCCACGUGGGUGUUGUCUGUGCUGGGGGGUUGGCUUCGGGACACCUGCGGGGUCCGCAUGGGGGUUCCCAGCGCUGGGGGGUCGACUUGGGGACACCCGCGGGGCCCACGUGGGGGUGCCUGGCACUGGGAGGUCAGCUUCGGGACACCUGUGGGGCCUACAUGGGGGUCCCCGGUGCUGGGUGGGUGCAGCUCCGGGACACCUGCAUGGCAAAUUGGCCGGACAGAGAGAGGCUUUGUGGUAGGAGGUGGGCCGGGAAGAAGGUGCAGAGGAAAUGAAGUUUGCGUGUUUUCCGUGCAGUCGAGCAGGGAAGAGACAAGGGCUGAGGCGAGUCUGUCCUGUCUCAGGGACAGUAGUAACCGCGCCAGGAGGGUUUCCCUGCUGAC
Molecule: long non-coding RNA, 1037 nt
Filed under: Zalophus californianus (California sea lion)
Lineage: Eukaryota; Metazoa; Chordata; Mammalia; Carnivora; Otariidae
Description: lncRNA (ENSZCAG00015021077.1)
Source: RNAcentral